This 679-nucleotide ribosomal RNA is filed under the name uncultured bacterium. RNAcentral describes it as "bacterial SSU rRNA". It matches the Rfam family "Bacterial small subunit ribosomal RNA", at positions 143 to 807 of the family's 1533-position model. The record is from RNAcentral.
AUAACAUUUGGAAACAGAUGCUAAUACCGCAUAACCAUUCAGACCACAUGGUCUGAAUGUAAAAGACCGCCUUUGGCUGUCACUUUUGGAUGGACCCGCGGCGUAUUAGUUAGUUGGUAAGGUAACGGCUUACCAAGACAAUGAUACGUAGCCGACCUGAGAGGGUAAUCGGCCACAUUGGGACUGAGACACGGCCCAAACUCCUACGGGAGGCAGCAGUAGGGAAUCUUCCACAAUGGACGAAGGUCUGAUGGAGCAACGCCGCGUGAGUGAAGAAGGUUUUAGGAUCGUAAAACUCUGUUGUUGGAGAAGAACAGGGACUAGAGUAACUGUUAGUCCUUUGACGGUAUCCAACCAGAAAGCCACGGCUAACUACGUGCCAGCAGCCGCGGUAAUACGUAGGUGGCAAGCGUUGUCCGGAUUUAUUGGGCGUAAAGCGAGCGCAGGCGGUUUUUUAAGUCUGAUGUGAAAGCCUUCGGCUUAACCGAAGAAGUGCAUUAGAAACUGGGAAACUUGAGUGCAGAAGAGGACAGUGGAACUCCAUGUGUAGCGGUGAAAUGCGUAGAUAUAUGGAAGAACACCAGUGGCGAAGGCGGCUGUCUGGUCUGUAACUGACGCUGAGGCUCGAAAGUAUGGGGAGCGAACAGGAUUAGAUACCCUGGUAGUCCAUACCGUAAAC